CACAAAUUAAAAUAUGAAGGCUUCGGCUGGAUUAUUUUUAUCACCCUUGUCUUUUGCGCACUUGUUGUUUCCUGGGCGGGUUCGCCCGCCACCAGGACCACACCAUAAACCUUUUUUUAUGCAGUUGCAAUCAGCGUCAGCAUAACAAAUGUAAAUCAUUUA
This 162-nucleotide unclassified non-coding RNA is filed under the name soil metagenome. RNAcentral's name for it is "partial internal transcribed spacer 1". The record is from RNAcentral.